This 227-nucleotide unclassified non-coding RNA is filed under the name Hevea brasiliensis (rubber tree). The record is from RNAcentral. Lineage: Eukaryota; Viridiplantae; Streptophyta; Magnoliopsida; Malpighiales; Euphorbiaceae.
AGAAAGACCGGUAAACAUCCUUGUAUGUUGUAUUCCGAAAAUCACUUGCUUAUAUCUAGUCAUAACUGAAAUAAAUAGCCAAUUAUAAGAAAAAGUUCAGAGAUACAAAGCUUCUAACGCACCAUUACAAUGAAUUUACGAACUCAAAAACCAGAGACCAACCGAUGCAGGGAGAUCAUCUUCUCACAGGAGGCACAACACCUCGACCAGGUGCUGCUCCACGACCU